Molecule: small nuclear RNA, 110 nt
Organism: Rattus norvegicus (Norway rat)
Lineage: Eukaryota; Metazoa; Chordata; Mammalia; Rodentia; Muridae
Source: Ensembl
GUGCUGGCUUUGGCAGCACAUAUAAUUGAAGUGGGAACAAUACGAAGAUUAGCACAGCUCAUGCACAAGGAUGACCCACAUGACAAGGAUGUGAAGUGUUCCGUGCUUUA